RNAcentral lists this ribosomal RNA (253 nucleotides) under uncultured bacterium. RNAcentral's name for it is "partial 16S ribosomal RNA". It matches the Rfam family "Bacterial small subunit ribosomal RNA", at positions 524 to 776 of the family's 1533-position model. The record is from RNAcentral.
UACGUAGGGCGCAAGCGUUAUCCGGAAUUAUUGGGCGUAAAGAGCUCGUAGGCGGUUUGUCGCGUCUGCUGUGAAAGCCCGGGGCUCAACUCCGGUUCUGCAGUGGGUACGGGCAGACUAGAGUGCAGUAGGGGAGACUGGAAUUCCUGGUGUAGCGGUGAAAUGCGCAGAUAUCAGGAGGAACACCGAUGGCGAAGGCAGGUCUCUGGGACGGUACUGACGCUGAGACGCGAAAGCGUGGGGAGCGAACAGG